This is a ribosomal RNA of Nicotiana attenuata, 315 nucleotides long. It matches the Rfam family "Bacterial small subunit ribosomal RNA", at positions 554 to 873 of the family's 1533-position model. NCBI's taxonomy places the organism in Eukaryota, Viridiplantae, Streptophyta, Magnoliopsida, Solanales, Solanaceae. The record is from Rfam.
UUGGGCGUAAAGCGUCUGCAGGUGGCUUUUUAAGUCCGCCGUCAAAUCCCAGGGCUCAACCCUGGACAGGCGGUGGAAACUACCAAGCUGGAGUAUGGUAGGGGCAGAGGGAAUUUCCGUUGGAGCGGUGAAAUGCGUAGAGAUCGGAAAGAACACCAACGGCGAAAGCACUCUGCUGGGCCGACACUGACACUGAGAGACGAAAGCUAGGGGGGCGAAUGGGAUUAGAUACCCCAGUAGUCCUAGCCGUAAACAAUGGAUACUAGGCGUUGUGCGUAUCGCCCCGUGCAGUGCUGUACAUAACGGGUAUACACU